RNAcentral lists this ribosomal RNA (1245 nucleotides) under metagenome. Its description in RNAcentral is "bacterial LSU rRNA". It matches the Rfam family "Bacterial large subunit ribosomal RNA", at positions 1564 to 2815 of the family's 2925-position model. The record is from RNAcentral.
UGAGUACGAGAUGCUACGGCAUCGAAGCAGUCUAUGUCAUACUUCCAAGAAAAGCUUGCAAUGUCAUAAACAAAUAAUGCCUGUACCAUAACCGACACAGGUGGGUAGGUAGAGUAUACUAAGGGGCGCGAGAUAACUCUCUCUCUAAGGAACUCGGCAAAAUGACUCCGUAACUUCGGGAGAAGGAGUGCCUUAUUUUUAUAAGGUUGCAAUAACAAGAUCCAAGCAACUGUUUACCAAAAACACAGGUCUCCGCUAAGUCGUAAGACGAUGUAUGGGGGCUGACGCCUGCCCAGUGCCAGAAGGUUAAAGAAGUUGGUUAGCAUUAGCGAAGCUGAUAACUGAAGCCCUGGUGAACGGCGGCCGUAACAAUAACGGUCCUAAGGUAGCGAAAUUCCUUGUCGGGUAAGUUUCGACCCGCACGAAAGGCGUAAUGAUUUGGAUACUGUCUCGGAGAGGGGCUCGGUGAAAUAGACUUGUCUGUGAAGAUGCGGACUACCUGCACCUGGACAGAAAGACCCUAUGAAGCUUUACUGUAACUUGAGAUUGAAAUUGGACUUUAUCUGCGCAGUAUAGGUGGGAGACGUUGAAAAUAUUCUUGCGGGAAUAUUGGAGUCAUCAGUGAGAUACCACUCUUAUAAUGUUAGAUUUCUAACUUUGUAUCAUUAUCUGGUCAAAGAACAGUUUCAGGCGGGCAGUUUGACUGGGGCGGUCGCCUCCCAAACGGUAACGGAGGCGCACAAAGGUUUCCUCUGAACGUGUAGAAAUCGUAUCUAGAGUGUAAAGGCAUAAGGAAGCUUGACUGUGAGACCUACAAGUCGAGCAGGGACGAAAGUCGGUCUUAGUGAUCUGACGGUGCUGAGUGGAAAGGCCGUCACUCAACGGAUAAAAGUUACUCUAGGAUAACAGGCUGAUCUCCCCCAAGAGUUCACAUCGACGGGGAGGUUUGGCACCUCGAUGUCGGCUCAUCGCAUCCUGGGGCGGUAGUACGUCCCAAGGGUUGGGCUGUUCGCCCAUGAAAGCGGUACGCGAGCUGGGUUCAGAACGUCGUGAGACAGUUCGGUCCAUAUCCGGUGUAGGCGUUAGAAUAUUGAGAGGAGCCUUCUUUAGUACGAGAGGACCGAGAAGGACAUACCUCUGGUGUACCAGUUAUCGUGCCAACGGUAAACGCUGGGUAGCCAUGUAUGGAGAGGAUAACCGCUGAAAGCAUCUAAGUGGGAAGCCCACCUCAAGAUAAGUAUUCCC